Molecule: ribosomal RNA, 245 nt
Filed under: uncultured bacterium
Lineage: Bacteria
Description: partial 16S ribosomal RNA
Rfam family: Bacterial small subunit ribosomal RNA
Source: RNAcentral
GACGUAGGUGGCAAGCGUUGUCCGGAAUGAUUGGGCGUAAAGCGCGCGCAGGCGGUUUGGCAAGUCCAUGGUGAAAGGGCGGGGCUUAACCCCGCGAGGGCCGUGGGGACUGCCAGACUGGAGGCAAGCAGAGGCGUGUGGAAUGCCGGGUGGAGCGGUGAAAUGCGUAGAGAUCCGGCAGAACACCAGAGGCGAAGGCGGCACGCUGGGCUUGGCCUGACGCUGAGGCGCGAAAGCGUGGGGAG